Molecule: ribosomal RNA, 496 nt
Filed under: uncultured bacterium
Lineage: Bacteria
Description: partial 16S ribosomal RNA
Rfam family: Bacterial small subunit ribosomal RNA
Source: RNAcentral
AUUGAACGCUGGCGGAAUGCUUUACACAUGCAAGUCGAACGGUAGAGGGGGCAACCCCUCGAGAGUGGCGAACGGGUGAGUAAUAUAUCGGAACGUGCCCAGUCGUGGGGGAUAACGUAGCGAAAGUUACGCUAAUACCGCAUACGAUCUAAGGAUGAAAGCGGGGGAUCGCAAGAGCUCGCGCGAUUGGAGCGGCCGAAAUCAGAUUAGGUUGUUGGUGGGGUAAAGGCUCACCAGGACAACGAUCUGUAGCUGGUCUGAGAGGAAGACCAGCCACACUGGAACUGGGACAUGGUCCAGACUCCUACGGGAGGCAGCAGUGGGGAAUUAUGGACAAUGGACGCAAGUCUGAUCCAGCCAUUCCGCGUGCAGGAUGAAGGCCCUCGUGUUGUAAACUGCUUUUGUACGAAACGAAAAGGUCUCUCUUAAUACGGGGGACUCAUGACGGUACCGUAAGAAUAAGCACCGGCUAACUACGUGCCAGCAGCCGCCGCCG